RNAcentral lists this ribosomal RNA (426 nucleotides) under uncultured bacterium. RNAcentral's name for it is "bacterial SSU rRNA". It matches the Rfam family "Bacterial small subunit ribosomal RNA", at positions 354 to 796 of the family's 1533-position model. The record is from RNAcentral.
GUGGGGAAUAUUGGACAAUGGGCGCAAGCCUGAUCCAGCCAUGCCGCGUGGAUGAUGAAGGCCCUAGGGUUGUAAAGUCCUUUCGGCGGGGAAGAUAAUGACGGUACCCGCAGAAGAAGCCCCGGCUAACUUCGUGCCAGCAGCCGCGGUAAUACGAAGGGGGCUAGCGUUGCUCGGAAUCACUGGGCGUAAAGCGCACGUAGGCGGUUUCCUAAGUCGGUGGUGAAAUCCUGGAGCUCAACUCCAGAACUGCCUCCGAUACUGAGAGACUACGAGUCCGGGAGAGGUGAGUGGAACUGCGAGUGUAGAGGUGAAAUUCGUAGAUAUUCGCAAGAACACCAGUGGCGAAGGCGGCUCACUGGCCCGGUACUGACGCUGAGGUGCGAAAGCGUGGGGAGCAAACAGGAUUAGAAACCCGAGUAGUCC